UACGGGAGUGGCAAGCGUUAUCCGGAAUUAUUGGGCGUAAAGCGUCCGCAGGCGGUCUUGUAAGUCUGUUGUUAAAGCGUGGAGCUUAACUCCAUUUCAGCAAUGGAAACUGUAAGACUAGAGUGUGGUAGGGGCAGAGGGAAUUCCCGGUGUAGCGGUGAAAUGCGUAGAUAUCGGGAAGAACACCAGUGGCGAAGGCGCUCUGCUGGGCCAUAACUGACGCUCAUGGACGAAAGCCAGGGGAGCGAAAGGGAUUAGAUACCCCUGUAGUCCUGGCCGUAAACGAUGAACACUAGGUGUCGGGGGAAUCGACCCCCUCGGUGUCGUAGCCAACGCGUUAAGUGUUCCGCCUGGGGAGUACGCACGCAAGUGUGAAACUCAAAGGAAUUGACGGGGGCCCGCACAAGCGGUGGAGUAUGUGGUUUAAUUCGAUGCAACGCGAAGAACCUUACCAGGGUUUGACAUCCUGCGAAUCUCUUGGAAACGAGAGAGUGCCUUCGGGAACGCAGUGACAGGUGGUGCAUGGCUGUCGUCAGCUCGUGUCGUGAGAUGUUGGGUUAAGUCCCGCAACGAGCGCAACCCACGUCGUUAGUUGCCAGCAUUUAGUUGGGCACUCUAGCGAGACCGCCGGUGAUAAACCGGAGGAAGGUGUGGAUGACGUCAAGUCAUCAUGCCCCUUACAUCCUGGGCUACACACGUACUACAAUGCUACGGACAAAGGGCAGCAAACUCGCGAGAGCUAGCAAAUCCCAUAAACCGUGGCUCAGUUCAGAUCGUAGGCUGCAACUCGCCUACGUGAAGGAGGAAUCGCUAGUAAUCGCAGGUCAGCAUACUGCGGUGAAUACGUUCCCGGACCU
RNAcentral lists this ribosomal RNA (857 nucleotides) under uncultured bacterium. RNAcentral's name for it is "SSU rRNA". It matches the Rfam family "Bacterial small subunit ribosomal RNA", at positions 524 to 1381 of the family's 1533-position model. The record is from RNAcentral.